CACGGCCAAAAUCAUAGUUAGCCACCUCGCUCGCCCUUCUUUAGGGCAACAGCUAGGGCUUCCCAAGUCACAGCCACACGUAUUGAAUCUCCUACGGUCAUCGAGAGGCCAACAUCCUACCAUGUUUAUGUGGCACACACGACUUCCCUCGGCAAUAAUCAUAGGUAGAGCCUCUCACCGCCACUUGGCAUUAGCAGGGCAUCACCUGUUACUUGGUUUUAGUUAAGUUCUUCGCCUUGGCACUAGUUAGCAGGCCAGUUCUCUGAAGGUCCUGUUCCCCCUUCACAAUACCCUACUUAAAUCAUUAUUCCUUUUUCAGAAUGUCACAAGAAUCUAUACCCAUCGACGAUAUACCAUUGGACGAAGUACCCAGCAUGCCAGUCAGGCCUGGAUCUCCAGAGGAAUCCCUCACCCCCUCUACCCCCAGGUCCCUGAGAUCCUGGACUAUUCCCAAAAUUGCAGCAGAACUUAGGUUCAGGGGUAUCCCCUUUUCAGCCACCGCUAGAAAGGCAGAGCUAUACAGGCUCUUGAAGGCACAGACCAACGAACCUAGGCCCAGCAGUAGCUCACAAGGGCCGUCUAGAAACACCUCUGAUUCUACACAGGAGACCUUGACUGCUAUUCUGGCCAACCUCCAAACCGACUGCUUACAGUGGAAUCAGCCAUAGCCACCUCAGAUAACCUACCAGGCCCUUCAAUUCCUCCCCUUGUAAUCUCUACUGUUCAGUCUGACACCCCCUCACUCCCCCUCCCCCACCAGCCACAACCACAACCCCAUAUGUCUCACCUGCUCACUCGGUUCCAGCUUCCAUAAAAAAGGAAAUAAUGGAUGGGAAGGACGUAAAUCUAGUUUCCUUACUCAUAGCCUCACAAGACGUCUUUGAGAACAGAACAUACAAUUACGGGGACAUCUCAAUGUUCUUAAAAAUUAGAGACCC
This is a non-coding RNA of Pelobates cultripes (western spadefoot toad), 938 nucleotides long. The record is from the annotation of a GenBank genome assembly. NCBI's taxonomy places the organism in Eukaryota, Metazoa, Chordata, Amphibia, Anura, Pelobatidae.